Molecule: long non-coding RNA, 329 nt
Organism: Wyeomyia smithii (pitcher-plant mosquito)
Lineage: Eukaryota; Metazoa; Arthropoda; Insecta; Diptera; Culicidae
Exons: 2
Source: RefSeq, a predicted model, not a curated record
GUAGAAAUAAUCGAUCAGGAGCUACUGACUACUGGAGAUACAGGAGAUAACUUUGCUGGGUAAAUUAGGCAGUUUCCAACGCUUUUGAAAUUACCAGCAAAUAAGAAGACCAAGAAUACAACAAAGCAACCAAUUUCUUCGGAUGCCUCAAAUUUUCACAAUUGGGUCAAUGAACCACUACAAGCUACAAAGGACAGUUUUGAGAGCUGGUUCCGUUUGGUGUUGACCAAAAAUACAAAUGACGGAUAAUUUUAUUUUAUUUUAUUUAAUAAUGUUUAUUAAUAUUAAGAUUAAGAUUUAAUAAUAAUUUUUUUUAAAUAUUUUCAUAA